GGGGGCCCGCAAGCGGUGGAGCAUGUGGUUUAAUUCGACGCAACGCGAAGAACCUUACCUGGGCUCGAAAUGUACAGGAAUCACUUGGAAACAGGUGCGCCCAGCAAUGGGUCUGUAUAUAGGUGCUGCACGGCUGUCGUCAGCUCGUGUCGUGAGAUGUUGGGUUAAGUCCCGCAACGAGCGCAACCCUUAUCUCCAGUUGCUACCAUUUAGUUGAGCACUCUGGCGAGACCGCCUCGGAUAACGGGGAGGAAGGCGGGGAUGACGUCAAGUCCUCAUGGCCUUUAUGUCCAGGGCUACACACGUGCUACAAUGGCCGGUACAAACCGCUGCGAACCCGCGAGGGGGAGCCAAUCGGAAAAAGCCGGCCUCAGUUCGGAUUGGAGUCUGCAACUCGACUCCAUGAAGCUGGAAUCGCUAGUAAUCGCAGAUCAGCACGCUGCGGUGAAUACGUUCCCGGGCCUUGUACACACC
RNAcentral lists this ribosomal RNA (474 nucleotides) under uncultured bacterium. Its description in RNAcentral is "bacterial SSU rRNA". It matches the Rfam family "Bacterial small subunit ribosomal RNA", at positions 915 to 1391 of the family's 1533-position model. The record is from RNAcentral.